UACGUAGGGGGCAAGCGUUGUCCGGAUUUAUUGGGCGUAAAGAGCUCGUAGGCGGUGUGUCGCGUCGAUCGUGAAAACUUGGGGCUUAACCCUGAGCUUGCGGUCGAUACGGGCAUCACUUGAGUUCGGCAGGGGAGACUGGAAUUCCUGGUGUAGCGGUGAAAUGCGCAGAUAUCAGGAGGAACACCGGUGGCGAAGGCGGGUCUCUGGGCCGAUACUGACGCUGAGGAGCGAAAGCGUGGGGAGCGAACAGG
RNAcentral lists this ribosomal RNA (254 nucleotides) under uncultured bacterium. Its description in RNAcentral is "partial 16S ribosomal RNA". It matches the Rfam family "Bacterial small subunit ribosomal RNA", at positions 524 to 776 of the family's 1533-position model. The record is from RNAcentral.